GACGAACGCUGGCGGCGUGCUUAACACAUGCAAGUCGAACGGAAAGGCCCUGCUUUUGUGGGGUGCUCGAGUGGCGAACGGGUGAGUAACACGUGAGUAACCUGUCCUUGACUUUGGGAUAACUUCAGGAAACUGGGGCUAAUACCGGAUAGGAGCUCCUGCUGCAUGGUGGGGGUUGGAAAGUUUCGGCGGUUGGGGAUGGACUCGCGGCUUAUCAGCUUGUUGGUGGGGUAGUGGCUUACCAAGGCUUUGACGGGUAGCCGGCCUGAGAGGGUGACCGGCCACCUUGGGACUGAGGUACGGCCCAGACUCCUACGGGAGGCAGCGGUGGGGAAUAUUGCACAAUGGGCGGAAGCCUGAUGCAGCAACGCCGCGUGCGGGAUGACGGCCUUCGGGUUGUAAACCGCUUUCGCCUGUGACGAAGCGUGAGUGACGGUAAUGGGUAAAGAAGCACCGGCUAACUACGUG
Molecule: ribosomal RNA, 468 nt
Filed under: uncultured bacterium
Lineage: Bacteria
Description: partial 16S ribosomal RNA
Rfam family: Bacterial small subunit ribosomal RNA
Source: RNAcentral